Erinaceus europaeus (western European hedgehog) is the source of this 1965-nucleotide long non-coding RNA. RefSeq lists it as uncharacterized. The record is from RefSeq and is a predicted model, not a curated record. The transcript has 3 exons. NCBI's taxonomy places the organism in Eukaryota, Metazoa, Chordata, Mammalia, Eulipotyphla, Erinaceidae.
AAGCCUGCUAAUUUCAAUCCACUAGUACAAUAGAAUGAUAAUUUAUUUAUAUAUGAAAACUCAAUUUCACAUUGUUAUCUUCAUAUUUAGUCUAUGGUAUUUUAUGUGAUUCACUUCUCCUUUAUUUCCACACAUCUCAGAAGGGGUCAGAAAUUCUAUUUCUUUUCUUUAAUUUUUAUUACAUAAUGGAUAAUACUGUAUCCCAUGGAGAUAAUUAUAUUGUGCUUUGGUGAUAGUUUUCAAUAUGAGUACAGAUAAUUAAACAUCCUCUCUAACAUAUUUUAAUAAGAGUUGCAAGUUUAAUGUGAUGGAUUAAAAUGAACUUUACACAUAUUAACAGUGGGAAGAAUAUUCCAUUGAGGAGAUAAAGAGCUGCUCUAAGAAAUGUGUUUGGAUUUCCCUAGAAGGGCAAAAAUAAAAGCUGUGUCUUAUGGAGUAAUACCUAAUCAAUGCAAUGAGUACCACCUCAGCAUGCUUCAUUCACUUCAGAUUGUCCAGAGACAUCAUGCAUGGAAUGUCAACCCUUCAGCCUCAUUACUUGGCCACCAAGUUCUAGAUGCUAAGAUGAUGCCAACCAGACUUCCCUGGGCAGAUGACCCCACCGAUGUGUCCUGGAGCCCCGCUUCCCCAGAGCCCCACCACACUAGGGAAAGAGAGAGACAGGCUGGGAGUAUGGAUUGACCUAUCAAUGCCCAUGUUCAGUGGGGAAGCAAUUACAGAAGCCAGACCUUCUACUUUCUGCACCCGAUAAUGACCCUGGGUCCAUACUCCCAGAGGAUUAAAGAAUAGAAAGCUAUCAGGGGAGGGGGUGGGAUAUGGAGUUCUGAUGGUGGGAAUUGUGUGGAGUGGUACCCCUCUUAUCCUAUGUUUUUUGUCAGUGUUUCCUGUUUAUAAAUAAAAUUUAUUAAAAAAGGAAGAUAGAGGAGUUUGUACUCCAUUUUUCAGGCAAGGGAAGGACAAGACAGGACAGCGUCAGAACAUUUCAAGAAAAUUAAUUAGGUAGAAUGAGAGAAGUGAAGAGAGAUAUUGGGAUUCAGCAGCCUCCUGGCUUUUGGUGCCCUUGUCUUCCCAGUAUGAACAAUCAUAUUUUCUCUCUUCAAGGUUACCGAUAUUCAGAUGAAGCAGUUUUUAUAACUGAUGGACCUGGCCUUGUAGAUACUGAGGGUUUGUUUCUCUCCUUCCAAAUCUCUAUUCUUCUAGUAGGCUUCCAGUUUCCUAAGUAAUCAUAUCUCUCAGACAUAACUGUGAGCUGACAACAUACAAGUGGAUGGAAUAGAUGCCUGCAGUCUGUAUAGAAACAGAUGUAGACUAUUUUCAUUAAAAAGGCUUGGGGACAAGAGGAAGAUUUGUAGGAGGCAGAAGGAUAUAGAAAUGUCAUUCUAGUCUGCAGGCUCUGGUUCUUAGCAUUCAAGUAAUUAGCACAUUUUGACAGGGUAAAAGUGGCCACCCAGCCUCUCCCUUUGAAGGGGCAGAGGUCAUUGACAGCUGCUGCUUGGGCCUGUGGGGGUAUUCUGCUUGAGACCAGCUGGGGGAAAUAGAUCCCAGGAAGAGUGGUCACUCAAUGAUGAGAGUUCUGUUCCUUUUUCUUGUAAACAGUGGACACCCUUGAAGGCCCAUCUGCACAGUUCCAAUCCUUUCUGCACCUGGUUUUUUGUUUUCUUUGCUGGAGAACAGUUGCCUGGUAUGCAUCAGGGAUCCCCAUCUGCUUCACAGAUAGAUAGCAGCAGGGUUCCGAACUCUGCUUUAUAUCUGACAGUCAGUGACUCCUACUCCCUGACAGAAUCUCACCCGGGCCCCAAAAUUCAAUAUUACAAAUGUUUCAGUGGCAGAAUUUGAUUACAACAUGAAACUGGAAAAAAAAAGAUUAUAUACCUACACAAGACUUACAAGUGAUAUACUUCUUGACUGGCCAUUUAAUUAAAGUCUUAUGCCUCUUUGAAAACCUCAACUUCAGUUUUCUUUCCC